RNAcentral lists this ribosomal RNA (484 nucleotides) under uncultured bacterium. RNAcentral describes it as "partial 16S ribosomal RNA". It matches the Rfam family "Bacterial small subunit ribosomal RNA", at positions 30 to 507 of the family's 1533-position model. The record is from RNAcentral.
AUUGAACGCUGGCGGCAGGCCUAACACAUGCAAGUCGAGCGGAUGAAGGGAGCUUGCUCCUGGAUUCAGCGGCGGACGGGUGAGUAAUGCCUAGGAAUCUGCCUGGUAGUGGGGGAUAACGUCCGGAAACGGGCGCUAAUACCGCAUACGUCCUGAGGGAGAAAGUGGGGGAUCUUCGGACCUCACGCUAUCAGAUGAGCCUAGGUCGGAUUAGCUAGUUGGUGGGGUAAAGGCCUACCAAGGCGACGAUUCGCAACUGGUCUGAGAGGAUGAUCAGUCACACUGGAACUGAGACAGGGUCAAGACUCCUACGGGAGGCAGCAGUGGGGAAUAUUGGACAAUGGGCGAAAGCCUGAUCCAGCCAUGCCGCGUGUGUGAAGAAGGUCUUCGGAUUGUAAAGCACUUUAAGUUGGGAGGAAGGGCAGUAAGUUAAUACCUUGCUGUUUUGACGUUACCAACAGAAUAAGCACCGGCUAACUUCGUG